RNAcentral lists this ribosomal RNA (1012 nucleotides) under Staphylococcus aureus. Its description in RNAcentral is "bacterial SSU rRNA". It matches the Rfam family "Bacterial small subunit ribosomal RNA", at positions 1 to 994 of the family's 1533-position model. Lineage: Bacteria; Bacillati; Bacillota; Bacilli; Caryophanales; Staphylococcaceae. The record is from RNAcentral.
UUUAUGGAGAGUUUGAUCCUGGCUCAGGAUGAACGCUGGCGGCGUGCCUAAUACAUGCAAGUCGAGCGAACGGACGAGAAGCUUGCUUCUCUGAUGUUAGCGGCGGACGGGUGAGUAACACGUGGAUAACCUACCUAUAAGACUGGGAUAACUUCGGGAAACCGGAGCUAAUACCGGAUAAUAUUUUGAACCGCAUGGUUCAAAAGUGAAAGACGGUCUUGCUGUCACUUAUAGAUGGAUCCGCGCUGCAUUAGCUAGUUGGUAAGGUAACGGCUUACCAAGGCAACGAUGCAUAGCCGACCUGAGAGGGUGAUCGGCCACACUGGAACUGAGACACGGUCCAGACUCCUACGGGAGGCAGCAGUAGGGAAUCUUCCGCAAUGGGCGAAAGCCUGACGGAGCAACGCCGCGUGAGUGAUGAAGGUCUUCGGAUCGUAAAACUCUGUUAUUAGGGAAGAACAUAUGUGUAAGUAACUGUGCACAUCUUGACGGUACCUAAUCAGAAAGCCACGGCUAACUACGUGCCAGCAGCCGCGGUAAUACGUAGGUGGCAAGCGUUAUCCGGAAUUAUUGGGCGUAAAGCGCGCGUAGGCGGUUUUUUAAGUCUGAUGUGAAAGCCCACGGCUCAACCGUGGAGGGUCAUUGGAAACUGGAAAACUUGAGUGCAGAAGAGGAAAGUGGAAUUCCAUGUGUAGCGGUGAAAUGCGCAGAGAUAUGGAGGAACACCAGUGGCGAAGGCGACUUUCUGGUCUGUAACUGACGCUGAUGUGCGAAAGCGUGGGGAUCAAACAGGAUUAGAUACCCUGGUAGUCCACGCCGUAAACGAUGAGUGCUAAGUGUUAGGGGGUUUCCGCCCCUUAGUGCUGCAGCUAACGCAUUAAGCACUCCGCCUGGGGAGUACGACCGCAAGGUUGAAACUCAAAGGAAUUGACGGGGACCCGCACAAGCGGUGGAGCAUGUGGUUUAAUUCGAAGCAACGCGAAGAACCUUACCAAAUCUUGACAUCCUUUGA